Molecule: non-coding RNA, 95 nt
Organism: Erinaceus europaeus (western European hedgehog)
Lineage: Eukaryota; Metazoa; Chordata; Mammalia; Eulipotyphla; Erinaceidae
Source: Rfam
GGUAGGAGCCAGUGAUGUUUUUACUGAAAAUGUCUGAACCUGUCUGAAGCAUCUCAGUGAUGCCAACUCUGUGUGGUGCUGAGGCUUCUUUGCCA